ACACUCCUACGGGAGGCAGCAGUGGGGAAUUUUGGACAAUGGGCGAAAGCCUGAUCCAGCAAUGCCGCGUGCAGGAUGAAGGCCUUCGGGUUGUAAACUGCUUUUGUACGGAACGAAAAAGCUCCUUCUAAUACAGGGGGCCCAUGACGGUACCGUAAGAAUAAGCACCGGCUAACUACGUGCCAGCAGCCGCGGUAAUACGUAGGGUGCGAGCGUUAAUCGGAAUUACUGGGCGUAAAGCGUGCGCAGGCGGUUAUGUAAGACAGAUGUGAAAUCCCCGGGCUCAACCUGGGAACUGCAUUUGUGACUGCAUGGCUAGAGUACGGUAGAGGGGGAUGGAAUUCCGCGUGUAGCAGUGAAAUGCGUAGAUAUGCGGAGGAACACCGAUGGCGAAGGCAAUCCCCUGGACCUGUACUGACGCUCAUGCACGAAAGCGUGGGGAGCAAACAGGAUUAGAUACCCGGGUAGUCCCA
This 473-nucleotide ribosomal RNA is filed under the name uncultured organism. RNAcentral describes it as "partial 16S ribosomal RNA". It matches the Rfam family "Bacterial small subunit ribosomal RNA", at positions 333 to 797 of the family's 1533-position model. The record is from RNAcentral.